RNAcentral lists this ribosomal RNA (477 nucleotides) under uncultured bacterium. RNAcentral describes it as "bacterial SSU rRNA". It matches the Rfam family "Bacterial small subunit ribosomal RNA", at positions 335 to 794 of the family's 1533-position model. The record is from RNAcentral.
ACUCCUACGGGAGGCAGCAGUGGGGAAUAUUGCACAAUGGGGGAAACCCUGAUGCAGCCAUGCCGCGUGUGUGAAGAAGGCCUUCGGGUUGUAAAGCACUUUCAGCGAGGAGGAAAGGGUGUAAGUUAAUACCUUACAUCUGUGACGUUACUCGCAGAAGAAGCACCGGCUAACUCCGUGCCAGCAGCCGCGGUAAUACGGAGGGUGCGAGCGUUAAUCGGAAUUACUGGGCGUAAAGCGUGCGCAGGCGGUUUGUUAAGCGAGAUGUGAAAGCCCCGGCUGCAACCAUCGGAAGCCAGCAUUCGAACUUGGCAAACUAUGAGUCAUUGUAGUAGGGGGAUGGAGAAAUUCCAGGUGGUAGCGGUGAAAUGCGUAGAGAUCUGGAGGAAUACCGGUGGCGAAGGCGGCCCCUCGGACAAAGACUGACGCUCAGGCACGAAAGCGUGGGGAGCAAACAGGAUUAGAUACCCUGGUAGG